RNAcentral lists this microRNA precursor (51 nucleotides) under Sus scrofa (pig). RNAcentral's name for it is "mir-1302 microRNA precursor family". It matches the Rfam family "mir-1302 microRNA precursor family". Lineage: Eukaryota; Metazoa; Chordata; Mammalia; Artiodactyla; Suidae. The record is from Rfam by way of RNAcentral.
UUUUUAGAUGAGCAUGUCCCAUGCAAUAUUUGGGAUAUGCUUAUACUAAAA